UGUGGGUCUGGGAGAGUCAGGGAGGAGUCUGGUGAGGUCUGGGCCCUGCUGGGAACUGGGGACAACCGCCCGCCUGAAGUGUGAGGACCAGGAGAGGGGCCUGGGCUGCUUGCUGAAGCUGGUGCAGUGGCAGCGGGCCCCACACUGCCAUGCGGCCUCGGUCUCACAGGGUGCUCUUCUUGGGACCCCCUCAGGCAACAAAACAGACAUAGGGAGCAAGGAUGUCAUUCCUGUCUCUGUACCUUUGCUGUGAGCAGCGAGCAAAUGGACUUGGUGAAUGAAGUUCUCUUUCACCUUGUAAGGAAGGCAUUGCAGAGUUUCAAGUCGUUUUAUUAGUUUCAGAAACACAUUCUUGAAAAGCACUUUUUAACCAAAGGAAGUUUAAGCGUGCCCCGUUUUGCUGGAGAAAUGCGUAGCUACUUGAGCCACGGGGGGACAUUCCUCUGCUUUUGGAGCCAUACAAUCUAAUCUGUAGACGCAUGCCAUGUUUUUGUGUCUGGGGAGCUGAUUCAGGCUUCCAAAGUCCUGAGUACUCGUGAAAUGAAUGAGUCUCUUCCUCUUUUCUCAAGGAACAACCUCUCUCGCUUGCUUUUUUCCCUGCAGUUUUGAAAUGUGAGUCCUAGCUCCAAGUCCAUGCUGUUUUCACACUCAGCUGGGUUUCUAACUCCUGAAAUAUUAAUCUAUGGGGGUUGCUGGCAAACCAAUAAUUGGCACCAAUUAACAAGCUCCUCAUUGGCCAAACGAUACUUGAAGAGGGAAGUUGACCGUUCGGGUCUUCUUGGCUCCUGCGGCUGGGCCCGGUGGCCUCUUCCUGGCCUCUUGUCCUGCUUCAGAUGCACAGAGCUGCUGAUCUCAGCUGGGAACACUGGCCCGGAGUGCAUCUGCUUAGAUCUUUAAGAAGAAGUAAUCCGUGGAAAGCGGUGCCAUCAACGGAUACGCGUCCUCCCGCCUUCCCUGCCCAGUCCUGCCUGACCGGCCUCCUCCCCACGUGCUGUUCUCCGCGUUGCCCAUUCUGCUUUUUGCUGGAACACAUUCCUCAGCUCCAUGCUUCUGAUAGACGGGCUACUAAAAUCCAACCCAACGACGUGGAGGACGGCCGAGUGCAUAACAAGCAGCAAGGUGAAAAAAUAACCAGCAGGACCCGCAGAGGGUCGGGGCUCCGCUGGGAGCUGUGCCUCAAUGGCGCUUGUUGCCAGUGACUGCAGCUCUGCACUGGCUCAUGGCUGUCCCUGAGAGCUCGAACCUCUAAACCAGUGUUUGCCUCUUGAGUCUUGUUGCAAAUGGCCGCGUUUGAACUAGAGUAUAAAGCACUGUGUUUAUUUAACCCUGCAAACGGCGCUCCUUUGUCUUUGUGACCAGGCUGGGCAGCUAAAGACCCACAUUCCUUCCACAGUUAAUAAAACUUCCUAUUUUUCUCCGUGCUUAUAAAUUUAAUUACACUCAGACGCAUUUAGUCGACAUCAGUUUUUCAAACUACCUAAAUAAACAGCCCCUCUCAAUGGGCAGCCUAAUCAUCUUCGGAUUAAGAGACACAAAUGAAAACCCAUUUUGUUGGUUUUGUCUUCAUCAUCUUAAGUCUUGUCCAUUUUCAGACCUGGAGCUGGCAGAGAUGGGAACCGAGUGGGCUGUACUUCCUCCCAAGAGAAAACACUUAUGCUUUAAAGGACUCCGUUAUUAAAUUUCAAACUUAUUAAAACAAAACAAAAAGCACCACAGAACAAGAGCCAAGCCAGCUCUAGCUGACUUUAUGGAAGACGCGAACAUUCUCUCAGACACGGAGACAUACUUGGGUUUGUGCAUGAUCAGGAGCAGGAGCAUGAGCCGUCGGGGGAAUGCCCCGGCCGAGGCGUGUCUCCCAAACACACAGCUCCUUCCGAGAGAAGUCAAUGCAAGCGGGCAUCCAGGAGCUCCCUGAAUCUCUGGGCCGCCGCCUUGCAGACCUGAGUUUCACCCUUUAGCUAAUGGCUGAAGUGUUGUCCAUUUUGGCUUUCUCUUCAAUCUUCUCAGUACAACAUCUCCUCACAUGGUGCUUAACGCGGUGCUUUUGCGAUUAAGAACAGCGUGGCGCUUUCGUAGUUGAAAGCAUUCUUCUCCGUUAUCAGAGUCUGCUUUCUCCUUCCCCGCAGGCUGCCUUUAGGGAGCCCUUAUGUUUGCCUCUCUGGACAGGCUCAUUGCUAACAGCCACCUCCUCUGUUCCUGUUUGCUGCCUUUUGGGUUUUUCCUAAUUUGAUUGUAGCAUUCUGCUUUGAUGUUUGGCCCAAGGAAGAUUUUACAAAAUGCCUGUCUUUGUGGCUUUCUCACUGGAGAGUCGGCAGCUGGUGUGGAAUUAUGCGGUGAACAGAAGAGCACACCUUUCACGUUUUCUCUCCUGGAGAAUGGAGCUACACGGGAAAACAUACAGCAAGGUGAUACUGCCUCUCUUGCUCGGGGCUGUGUGACUGAGUUCUGGCUAAUGGGACAUAGGUGGAAGGAGGCAUGCCAUGUUUGAGUCCAGUCCAUAAAUGCCCCCACCUCUUCAUUCCCCGUCUGCGGGCCCAGUGGAGAGGAGCUGGAGGAGGCCAAGUCACUGGAGGGAAGAUGCGAGGUCCCUGAGUGACCACGUGGAUGACUGCGACUCAGCAGGGAUGCCUACAGAGGGCUUUGUGCAAGUGAGAAGCGGGUCCUGACGGUGCCAGGUGAGAAGCGGGUCCUGACCCUGUCAGGUGAAAAGCGGGUCCUGACGGUGCCAGGUGAGAAGCGGGUCCUGACGGUGCCAG
Callithrix jacchus (white-tufted-ear marmoset) is the source of this 2756-nucleotide non-coding RNA. NCBI's taxonomy places the organism in Eukaryota, Metazoa, Chordata, Mammalia, Primates, Cebidae. The record is from RefSeq and is a predicted model, not a curated record.